This 424-nucleotide ribosomal RNA is filed under the name Plasmodium knowlesi. RNAcentral describes it as "SSU rRNA". It matches the Rfam family "Eukaryotic small subunit ribosomal RNA", at positions 1061 to 1407 of the family's 1831-position model. Lineage: Eukaryota; Apicomplexa; Aconoidasida; Haemosporida; Plasmodiidae. The record is from RNAcentral.
GAGUUUUUCUUUUCUCUCCGGAGAUUAGAACUCUUAGAUUGCUUCCUUCAGUGCCUUAUGAGAAAUCAAAGUCUUUGGGUUCUGGGGCGAGUAUUCGCGCAAGCGAGAAAGUUAAAAGAAUUGACGGAAGGGCACCACCAGGCGUGGAGCUUGCGGCUUAAUUUGACUCAACACGGGAAAACUCACUAGUUUAAGACAAGAGUAGGAUUGACAGAUUAAUAGCUCUUUCUUGAUUUCUUGGAUGGUGAUGCAUGGCCGUUUUUAGUUCGUGAAUAUGAUUUGUCUGGUUAAUUCCGAUAACGAACGAGAUCUUAACCUGCUAAUUAGCGGCAAAUACGAUAUAUUCUUAUGUAGAAUUGAAUAUAGUGGAUUUGUUGGAUUUUGAAGAAAAUAUUGGAAUUACGUUAAAUGUGAUUCCUUUCCC